GAGGGUAUAGCUCAGUGGUAGAAUGCAUGCUUAGCAUGCUUAGGGUCCUGGGUUCAACCCCCAGUACCGCCA
Molecule: transfer RNA, 72 nt
Filed under: Camelus ferus (Wild Bactrian camel)
Lineage: Eukaryota; Metazoa; Chordata; Mammalia; Artiodactyla; Camelidae
Rfam family: tRNA
About the family: Transfer RNA (tRNA) molecules are approximately 80 nucleotides in length. Their secondary structure includes four short double-helical elements and three loops (D, anti-codon, and T loops).
Source: Rfam by way of RNAcentral